GACGAACGCUGGCGGCGUGCUCAACACAUGCAAGUCGAACGAUGAAGCCCUUUCGGGGGUGGAUUAGUGGCGAACGGGUGAGUAACAUGUGGGUAACCUGCCCUGUACCCUGGGAUAAGCCUUGGAAACGAGGUCUAAUACCGGAUAUGACCUGCUCUCGCAUGGGGGUGGGUGGAAAGUUUUGGCGGUGCAGGAUGGACCCGCGGCCUAUCAGCUUGUUGGUGGGGUGANGGCCUACCAAGGCGACGACGGGUAGCCGGCCUGAGAGGGCGACCGGCCACACUGGGACUGAGACACGGCCCAGACUCCUACGGGAGGCAGCAGUGGGGAAUCUUGCGCAAUGGGCGAAAGCCUGACGCAGCGACGCCGCGUGAGGGAUGACGGCCUCGG
This 390-nucleotide ribosomal RNA is filed under the name uncultured bacterium. RNAcentral describes it as "bacterial SSU rRNA". It matches the Rfam family "Bacterial small subunit ribosomal RNA", at positions 28 to 420 of the family's 1533-position model. The record is from RNAcentral.